AAUCUACAGGGCCCGGUGAAAAAUGAGAAUGUAGAGCCCUUUGUUCAAAAAUGAAAAUAGCAGAGCCUUCGGUCAAGCAAGGGGCCCUUCUAAACAUGCCCGUGACAUAUAGUCACACGCCUAUGAAGCUGGGCCUGGCUGGGAACAGCCUUUGGGCUUGAUCUCUGAGCCACAGAAAGGGAGGGCCUCCUUGGUCUCUGAAGCAUCCUAGAGGAGCCCACCCAGGAACUCCCCCAAACCCUUCCCUGGGUUGGGUCAGCUCAGCCUAGCCCAUCGACAGCCCAUGUCCCUCCUUCAGGGCCCAGCGAGAGCAGAUUGAAAAGGAGCGGCUGGAGGAGGAGAAGAAGGCUACAGGGCGCUUACAGCACGCCAACGAGCUCCGGCGCCAGGUGCGGGAGAACCAGCAGAAGCAGGUGCAGGCCCGGAUCGCCACCUUCGAUGAGGGCCGGCGCCUCAAGGAGGAGGCCCAGAAGCGGCAUGAGCGCAUUGAAGACAUCAAGAGGAAAAAGCUCGAGGAACUGAGGGCCAGCGGCCUUCCUGAGAAGUACUGCAUCGAAGCUGAGCGCAAAGCUAACAUCCCAGCCAACACGUCUGUGAACUGAGGGAACCCCUCUGCCCCUCAGGAUGCCUUCAAGGGGGCAGGUUCCUCCCCAGCUCUCGGUGUCCAUAACUGCUGCUAAUAUAGACAGUUCUGAGUUAUAGAUUAAAUCUAUUCUUCUCUAA
Non-coding RNA from Odocoileus virginianus texanus, 723 nucleotides. The record is from RefSeq and is a predicted model, not a curated record. NCBI's taxonomy places the organism in Eukaryota, Metazoa, Chordata, Mammalia, Artiodactyla, Cervidae.